RNAcentral lists this ribosomal RNA (500 nucleotides) under uncultured bacterium. Its description in RNAcentral is "partial 16S ribosomal RNA". It matches the Rfam family "Bacterial small subunit ribosomal RNA", at positions 30 to 523 of the family's 1533-position model. The record is from RNAcentral.
AUUGAACGCUGGCGGCAUGCCUUACACAUGCAAGUCGAACGGCAGCACGGGAUCAAUCCUGGUGGCGAGUGGCGAACGGGUGAGUAAAGUAUCGGAACGUGCCCAGUCGUGGGGGAUAACGUAGCGAAAGUUACGCUAAUACCGCAUACGAUCUAUGGAUGAAAGCGGGGGAUCGCAAGACCUCGCGCGAUUGGAGCGGCCGAUAUCAGAUUAGGUAGUUGGUGGGGUAAAGGCUCACCAAGCCGACGAUCUGUAGCUGGUCUGAGAGGACGACCAGCCACACUGGGACUGAGACACGGCCCAGACUCCUACGGGAGGCAGCAGUGGGGAAUUUUGGACAAUGGGCGAAAGCCUGAUCCAGCCAUGCCGCGUGCAGGAUGAAGGCCUUCGGGUUGUAAACUGCUUUUGUACGGAACGAAAAGGUUUGGGCUAAUAAGCUGAGCUCAUGACGGUACCGUAAGAAUAAGCACCGGCUAACUACGUGCCAGCAGCCGCCGCAG